GGGGGGGGGGGGCGGGGGGGGGGGCGGGGGGGGGGGGGGGGGGGGGGGGGGGCUGGCGCCUGGGGUCAGCGGCGGGCGGGGGGGUACUGCCGAGGAAUCUGCCUGGUAGUGGGGGAUAACGUCCGGGAACGGGCGCUCAUACCGCAUACGUCCUGAGGGCGAAAGUGGGGGAUCUUCGGACCUCACGCUAUCAGAUGAGCCUAGGUGGGAGUAGCUAGUUGGUGGGGUAAAGGCCUCCCAAGGCGACGCUCCGUAACUGGUCUGAGAGGAUGAUCAGUCACACUGGAACUGAGACACGGUCCAGACUCCUACGGGAGGCAGCAGUGGGGAAUAUUGGACAAUGGGCGAAAGCCUGAUCCAGCCAUGCCGCGUGUGUGAAGAAGGUCUUCGGAUUGUAAAGCACUUUAAGUUGGGAGGAAGGGCAGUAAGUUAAUACCUUGCUGUUUUGACGUUACCAACAGAAUAAGCACCGGCUAACUUCGUG
Molecule: ribosomal RNA, 484 nt
Filed under: uncultured bacterium
Lineage: Bacteria
Description: partial 16S ribosomal RNA
Rfam family: Bacterial small subunit ribosomal RNA
Source: RNAcentral